GUCCCUUUGGCAGCACGUAUACUAAAAUGGGAAACAUACAGAGAUUAGCAUGGUCAUUGCACAAGGAUGACAUGGAAAUUCAUGAAGCAUUCCAUAUUUUU
Molecule: small nuclear RNA, 101 nt
Organism: Delphinapterus leucas (beluga whale)
Lineage: Eukaryota; Metazoa; Chordata; Mammalia; Artiodactyla; Monodontidae
Source: Ensembl